CGAGGGGCAGCGGGAAGGUUAGCUUGCUAACCUUUGCCGGCGACCGGCGCACGGGUGAGUAACACGUAUGCAACCUGUCCGGUACAGGGGGAUAAGCGGCGGAAACGCCGUCUAAUACCGCGUGACAACCCGAGGGGGCAUCCCCUUGCGUUCAAAGGAGAGAUCCGGUACCGGCUGGGCAUGCGGCGCAUUAGCUAGUUGGCGGGGCAACGGCCCACCAAGGCGACGAUGCGUAGGGGUUCUGAGAGGAAGGUCCCCCACACUGGAACUGAGGCACGGUCCAGACUCCUACGGGAGGCAGCAGUGAGGAAUAUUGGUCAAUGGGCGCAAGCCUGAACCAGCCAAGUCGCGUGAGGGAAGACGGCCCUACGGGUUGUAAACCUCUUUUGCCGGGGAGCAAGCCUGAGCACGUGUGCCCAGGCGGAGAGUACCCGGAGAAAAAGCAUCGGCUAACUCCGUGCCAGCAGCCGCGGUAAUACGGAGGAUGCGAGCGUUAUCCGGAUUUAUUGGGUUUAAAGGGUGCGCAGGCGGGCUGUUAAGCCGGCGGUAAAAAUUCAGGGCUCAACCCUGUCGAGCCGUCGGAACUGGCAGUCUUGAGUGGGCGAGAAGUAUGCGGAAUGCGUGGUGUAGCGGUGAAAUGCAUAGAUAUCACGCAGAACGCCGAUUGCGAAGGCAGCAUACCGGCGCCCAACUGACGCUGAGGCACGAAAGCGUGGGGAU
RNAcentral lists this ribosomal RNA (720 nucleotides) under uncultured bacterium. RNAcentral's name for it is "bacterial SSU rRNA". It matches the Rfam family "Bacterial small subunit ribosomal RNA", at positions 63 to 768 of the family's 1533-position model. The record is from RNAcentral.